Molecule: non-coding RNA, 202 nt
Organism: Paenibacillus beijingensis
Lineage: Bacteria; Bacillati; Bacillota; Bacilli; Caryophanales; Paenibacillaceae
Source: Rfam
AGUACCUUUAACUCAGUCCCGAGAGGCUGGCAAGGUAGCGUGAAUAAUAGGCCGAUGAUGCGGCCGGGCAGAACGAUCCUCCUUCACAUUGAAGCGCGGCUUAGACCGCUGUAUUCAGACAGGCUGAUGGAGGGGGCGGCCCGGCUUUCGGAUCAUCGCGUCUGGAAGCUCCUUGCUGUUAGCGGCAAGGAGCUUUUUUUGC